Molecule: ribosomal RNA, 51 nt
Filed under: Triticum aestivum (bread wheat)
Lineage: Eukaryota; Viridiplantae; Streptophyta; Magnoliopsida; Poales; Poaceae
Description: partial small subunit ribosomal RNA
Source: RNAcentral
GAUGAUCAUCUCAAGGACGUACAUAAGUUGUGGCAUCUAAAAUAUCUGAGC